AGUGAACGCUGGCGGUAGGCCUAACACAUGCAAGUCGAACGGCAGCACAGUAAGAGCUUGCUCUUACGGGUGGCGAGUGGCGGACGGGUGAGGAAUACAUCGGAAUCUACUUUUUCGUGGGGGAUAACGUAGGGAAACUUACGCUAAUACCGCAUACGACCUACGGGUGAAAGCAGUGGAUCUUCGGACCUUGCGCGAUUGAAUGAGCCGAUGUCGGAUUAGCUAGUUGGCGGGGUAAAGGCCCACCAAGGCGACGAUCCGUAGCUGGUCUGAGAGGAUGAUCAGCCACACUGGAACUGAGACACGGUCCAGACUCCUACGGGAGGCAGCAGUGGGGAAUAUUGGACAAUGGGCGCAAGCCUGAUCCAGCCAUACCGCGUGGGUGAAGAAGGCCUUCGGGUUGUAAAGCCCUUUUGUUGGGAAAGAAAAGCAGCAGGUUAAUACCCCGCUGUUCUGACGGUACCCAAAGAAUAAGCAACGGCUAACUUCGUG
RNAcentral lists this ribosomal RNA (492 nucleotides) under uncultured bacterium. RNAcentral describes it as "partial 16S ribosomal RNA". It matches the Rfam family "Bacterial small subunit ribosomal RNA", at positions 29 to 507 of the family's 1533-position model. The record is from RNAcentral.